UAUUAUUAAAAUGAGUCACCAUUAGUAAAGCUAAUUAUAGGUAACAAGAAUAUUAACUAAUAUACCAUAUCGUAAAUAUUACACAACAACUCUAGCAAUUAUUUCUCGUCUUAAUUCCGAUAUUUCACUACUUGCAGUUAAUACAACACUAUUGUUUCACUCGACGGUCACCUUUGGGCACUCUCGUUCCGGUUUCCUCGUCACGUGUUGCCCAAACUAUUGGAUUCUCAGCGGCGCCCGUAGGCCAGCAUGAAUCUCAAUUCGCAUA
Non-coding RNA from Cinara cedri, 268 nucleotides. NCBI's taxonomy places the organism in Eukaryota, Metazoa, Arthropoda, Insecta, Hemiptera, Aphididae. The record is from the annotation of a GenBank genome assembly.